RNAcentral lists this ribosomal RNA (541 nucleotides) under Enterococcus faecium. RNAcentral describes it as "bacterial SSU rRNA". It matches the Rfam family "Bacterial small subunit ribosomal RNA", at positions 781 to 1322 of the family's 1533-position model. Lineage: Bacteria; Bacillati; Bacillota; Bacilli; Lactobacillales; Enterococcaceae. The record is from RNAcentral.
GAUACCCUGGUAGUCCACGCCGUAAACGAUGAGUGCUAAGUGUUGGAGGGUUUCCGCCCUUCAGUGCUGCAGCUAACGCAUUAAGCACUCCGCCUGGGGAGUACGACCGCAAGGUUGAAACUCAAAGGAAUUGACGGGGGCCCGCACAAGCGGUGGAGCAUGUGGUUUAAUUCGAAGCAACGCGAAGAACCUUACCAGGUCUUGACAUCCUUUGACCACUCUAGAGAUAGAGCUUCCCCUUCGGGGGCAAAGUGACAGGUGGUGCAUGGUUGUCGUCAGCUCGUGUCGUGAGAUGUUGGGUUAAGUCCCGCAACGAGCGCAACCCUUAUUGUUAGUUGCCAUCAUUNAGUUGGGCACUCUAGCAAGACUGCCGGUGACAAACCGGAGGAAGGUGGGGAUGACGUCAAAUCAUCAUGCCCCUUAUGACCUGGGCUACACACGUGCUACAAUGGGAAGUACAACGAGUUGCGAAGUCGCGAGGCUAAGCUAAUCUCUUAAAGCUUCUCUCAGUUCGGAUUGCAGGCUGCAACUCGCCUGCAUG